This 64-nucleotide transfer RNA is filed under the name Nereis sp. Its description in RNAcentral is "tRNA-Trp". Lineage: Eukaryota; Metazoa; Annelida; Polychaeta; Phyllodocida; Nereididae. The record is from RNAcentral.
AAGACUUUAAGUUAAUAAAACUAAAGGCCUUCAAAGCCUUAAAUGGAACAAAUUUCAAGUCUUG